Coffea eugenioides is the source of this 2605-nucleotide RNA transcript. It is a transcript of the gene named KH domain-containing protein At4g18375, with no coding region annotated. The transcript has 9 exons. Lineage: Eukaryota; Viridiplantae; Streptophyta; Magnoliopsida; Gentianales; Rubiaceae. The record is from RefSeq and is a predicted model, not a curated record.
CGUCGGAGUCCAAAACCCUAAAAAAGACUGGUGCGAACCAGCUGCAACUUAUUAGUGUUCCUGCCUGCUGCACAAACAGCAGAACAAAUCCAACUCCAGGCUCCCUACUUGACGCAACUCAGAUACCUAAUCCUCUCUUUCUUUCUGAUAAAAAAAAAUAUAAAUCACAGGUCUCCGCAUUUGUUGGCAAGGAUGGCUGGACAAAGGAACAGCUACGGGAAGCGUUCUCAUGACUAUUCUGAUAAUGGAGGAAAUAAAAGGAGGAAUUCUGGUACUGAUAAGGACACGUUCUCUGUUGGGUCUGAUGAUACCGUGUACCGCUACUUGUGCCCUGCCAAAAAAAUUGGGAGUAUUAUUGGGAGGGGUGGGGAGAUUGUUAAGCAACUAAGGGCAGACACUAGAUCAAAGAUAAGAAUUGGUGAAACAGUUCCAGGAUGCGAAGAACGAGUUGUCACUAUAUACAGUUCCAGCGAGGAAACUAAUGAUUUUGAUGGUUCUGAGGAGCGUGUUUGUCCAGCACAGGAUGCUCUCUUUAAGGUUCAUGAAAAAAUUGUCACUGACGAAACAGCCAGUGAUGAUGACAGGGAAGAAACUGCACAAGUAGUUGUCAAGCUUCUAGUUCCAUCUGACCAAAUUGGAUGCAUAAUUGGGAAGGGGGGACAAAUUGUACAAAGCAUCCGCAGUGAUACCGGGGCACAGAUUCGCAUAUUAAAGGAUGAUCAUUUGCCUGCCUGUGCGUUGAGCUCUGAUGAACUUGUGCAGAUAACUGGCGAAGCCCCUGUGGUAAGGAAGGCUCUUUAUCAGAUUGCAUCUCGCCUUCAUGAUAAUCCAUCCCGAUCUCAGCAUUUGCUUGCAUCAGCUGUUCCAAAUGCAUACCCAUCUGGUGGGUCACUUAUGGGUGCUACUGCUGCUGCUCCAGUAAUGGGAUUAACCCCAUUGGUGGGACCCUAUGGGGGAUACAAGACGGAGAGUGGGGACUGGUCUCGGUCAUUUUACUCGGCUCCAAGAGACGACUCAUCUUCGAAGGAAUUUUCUCUUAGAUUGGUAUGCCCAACUGCAAAUAUUGGUGGUGUGAUUGGCAAGGGUGGUACCAUUAUCAAUCAAAUCAGACAAGAAUCUGGGGCAGGCAUAAAAGUUGACAGUUCAGCUGCUGAGGGAGAUGAUUGUGUAAUAUCAAUUUCAGCCAAAGAGUUCUUCGAGGAUACAUUCUCUCCAACAAUUGAUGCAGCAUUACGUUUGCAACCUAGGUGCAGUGAGAAAGUUGAAAGAGAUUCUGGUCUUAUUUCAUACACUACGCGGUUACUUGUGCCAACCUCUCGAAUUGGCUGCCUUAUUGGAAAAGGAGGUUCAAUAAUUACUGACAUGAGGAAAAUCACAAAAGCUAAUAUUCGUGUACUGACCAAGGAUAACCUUCCCAAAGUUGCAGCGGAGGAUGAUGAGAUGGUGCAGAUAUCGGGAGAUCUUGAUACUGCAAAGGAUGCACUUAUACAAGUUACUUCUCGGUUGAGGGCAAAUCUCUUUGAAAGAGAGGGUGCUGUAUCUGCAUUUGUACCUGUUCUACCUUAUGUUCCCAUGUCAACUGAUGGUUCAGAUAGUGUUAGAUAUGAAAACAGAGAUGCGAAAAGGCAUGGCCGUGGACAUUCUUAUUCAGCAGGUUAUGGUAGUUCUAGUGAUAUGCAACCUCUUGAUGGAUAUGGAAAUUAUGCUAGUCUCCAAGGCGGUGCGAGUGGAACAGGUUAUGGAGCCUAUGGUGGAUAUUCUUCGGGACGGUCUGCUGGUUCUGGGUUAUCUGGGCAGAACCCUGUUUCCAGGAGGAAAAGUUUUUACUAAAGUUUCAUAGACCAUGCAGGUGCUCACAUCUCUAGCUAUCAGAAUGCACAUCCUGACCUGUUUGCAAGUUGAAUGCACGGCUUUGAAGGCUUUUUUUGAUAACUGAUUGAAAAGUGGAUUUUCAUGAAGCUGGUGGUCAGAUGAAAUAUUUCCUUGUGAAAAUGACAGGUAACUCUUAUACCUCCUUGUAUAUCUUGCUUUCUUUAAUUGUUUUCAUUGAGUCUUAAAUCUGUAGUUGUGGGAGAAUGAGGUAUUAUUAAAUGUUGAAAGCGAUAAGGUAAUUAGAUAUUCCUAUGGUUUCAUUGGUCGAAGCUCAAAGAAGAUAUGUAAUAUUAAUAAACUCAAUCAGUGUAUAUUUAAGUGAACUGAGAUUAGGAAAGUGUGAAAGUUUACCUGUUAGAACAUUUUUUGAUAAUCACUGCACCUAAAUUUUUAAUGUUUGAAGGUAAAGAUGCCCCAUAAAUUCUUGGCAUUUUGCUUUUAGUUUAGUUUUAUUUGUUUUGUAACUGUGUCCCAUUUUCUUUCCUCACAAUUGGCACCCCUUAAAACUUCCCUUGGAUUGUAUGCAUGAGCAUAGCUUCUCCACUAUACCAGCAACCUCUCAAAGUCUUGUUCUGUAUCACUUAAUCCACAAAGCUGCUUAGAGAAGUGGUAAAAAGGAAAAUAUUGAAGUAAAAAGGAAAGCCAAAUACAAAUGUUUGCAUUUUAAGGGGCUUAAAAAACUCUGGUCAUGUUUUUCACUAUAAUUUUUUUUUGUGGUGUUGUUGGGAGGGGG